GCCCUGAUAGCUCAGCUGGAUAGAGCAACGGACUUCUAAUCCGUAGGUCGUAGGUUCGAAUCCUACUCAGGGCGCCA
RNAcentral lists this transfer RNA (77 nucleotides) under Kiritimatiellota bacterium B12222. Its description in RNAcentral is "tRNA-Arg". It matches the Rfam family "tRNA". Rfam says of the family: Transfer RNA (tRNA) molecules are approximately 80 nucleotides in length. Their secondary structure includes four short double-helical elements and three loops (D, anti-codon, and T loops). Lineage: Bacteria; Pseudomonadati; Kiritimatiellota. The record is from RNAcentral.